GUUCUAAGUAUAAAGCAUCUAUACGGUGAACUGCGAAUGGCUCAUUAAAUCAGUUAUCGUUUAUUUGAUAGUACCUUACUACUUGGAUAACCGUGGUAAUUCUAGAGCUAAUACAUGCUAAAAACCCCGACUUACGAAGGGGUGUAUUUAUUAGAUAAAAAACCAAUGCCCUUCGGGGCUCCUUGGUGAUUCAUAAUAACUUAACGAAUCGCAUGGCCUUGUGCCGGCGAUGGUUCAUUCAAAUUUCUGCCCUAUCAACUUUCGAUGGUAGAGUAGUGGUCUACCAUGGUUUCAACGGGUAACGGGGAAUUAGGGUUCUAUUCCGGAGAGGGAGCCUGAGAAACGGCUACCACAUCCAAGGAAGGCAGCAGGCGCGCAAAUUACCCAAUCCCGACACGGGGAGGUAGUGACAAUAAAUACUGAUACAGGGCUCUUUUGGGUCUUGUAAUUGGAAUGAGUACAAUUUAAAUCCCUUAACGAGGAACAAUUGGAGGGCAAGUCUGGUGCCAGCAGCCGCGGUAAUUCCAGCUCCAAUAGCGUAUAUUAAAGUUGUUGCAGUUAAAAAGCUCGUAGUUGAACCUUGGGCCUGGCUGGCCGGUCCGCCUCACCGCGUGCACUGGUCCGGCCGGGUCUUUCCUCCUGGGGAGCUGCAUGCCCUUCACUGGGUGUGUCAGGAACCAGGACUUUUACUUUGAAAAAAUUAGAGUGUUCAAAGCAGGCCUAUGCUCGAAUACAUUAGCAUGGAAUAAUAGAAUAGGACGUGUGGUUCUAUUUUGUUGGUUUCUAGGACCGCCGUAAUGAUUAAUAAGGGAUAGUCGGGGGCAUCAGUAUUCAAUUGUCAGAAGUGAAUUCUUGGAUUUAUUGAAGACUAACUAACUGC
This 880-nucleotide ribosomal RNA is filed under the name Leotiomycetes sp. RNAcentral describes it as "SSU rRNA". It matches the Rfam family "Eukaryotic small subunit ribosomal RNA", at positions 57 to 946 of the family's 1831-position model. The record is from RNAcentral. Lineage: Eukaryota; Fungi; Ascomycota; Leotiomycetes.